RNAcentral lists this ribosomal RNA (466 nucleotides) under uncultured bacterium. RNAcentral describes it as "partial 16S ribosomal RNA". It matches the Rfam family "Bacterial small subunit ribosomal RNA", at positions 28 to 507 of the family's 1533-position model. The record is from RNAcentral.
GAUGAACGCUGGCGGCGUGCUUAACACAUGCAAGUCGAACGAUGAAGCCCAGCUUGCUGGGUGGAUUAGUGGCGAACGGGAGAGUAACACGUGAGUAACCUGCCCUUAACUCUGGGAUAAGCCUGGGAAACUGGGUCUAAUACCGGAUAGGAGCGCCUACCGCAUGGUGGGUGUUGGAAAGAUUUAUCGGUUUUGGAUGGACUCGCGGCCUAUCAGCUUGUUGGUGAGGUAAUGGCUCACCAAGGCGACGACGGGUAGCCGGCCUGAGAGGGUGACCGGCCACACUGGGACUGAGACACGGCCCAGACUCCUACGGGAGGCAGCAGUGGGGAAUAUUGCACAAUGGGCGAAAGCCUGAUGCAGCGACGCCGCGUGAGGGAUGACGGCCUUCGGGUUGUAAACCUCUUUCAGUAGGGAAGAAGCGAAAGUGACGGUACCUGCAGAAGAAGCACCGGCUAACUACGUG